GUUAAUAAUGAAUCAUGAAUAAUAUACAGUACCAGUCAAAAGUUUGGACACACCUACUCAUUCAAGGGGUUUUAUUUAUCUUGAUUAUUUUCUACAUUGUAGAAUAAUAGUGAGUGUGCAAAGCUGUCAUCAAGGCAAAGGGUGGCUACUUUGAAGAAUCUCAAAUAAAAUAUAUAUUUUGUUUAUAUUUGUUUAACACUUUUUUUUGUUACUAUUUCAUAGUUUUGAUGUCUUGACUAUUAUUCUACAAUGUAGAAAAUAGGGGGGAAAAAAACUGGAAUGAGUAGGUUAAUCCAAACUUUUGACUGGUAUUGUAAAUCAUGCUUAUAUGACUUGUUUGUGUAACAGUAUAUAAGGACUGAGGGGGAACGCCCUCGUCAGAGUUUUCAUCAAUCUUGGAUUGAGUUUGUGAACCUCUCCAGCAGUCAUAACAAAGAUUUAUUCAUUUACUCUGAGUUUGAGUCCUUAGUGGUGAAUUUCGACGAGAAUUCUGGCGUCACAAAUUAUAUGUUUGAUUUCUCAACGUGAUCCGUCAGUGAAGGUCUGAGAGGGAACACCGGUGGUGCAUGCAUGGGAAUACGUAAAGGGAAAUUCCCUUCUCACUAAAAAAGGAUGAGGAUCCGCCCAUAAAAGACCUUCACUGUGGGAUGCAUCUGGGAGAAAACACAACAUCUACAAAACCUAGAAGGACAACUCAACUGAUUUCAUUUUCCCGGUUUUGACCAUUCUGCAGGCCCUGAACCUGAGCCGACCUGCCGUUCUGUACCUUGUCACACCACCCUGGAUUAUUGACCUCUGCCUGCCCUGACCCUGAGCAUGCCUGCCAUUCUGUAUCUUGUCACACCGCCCUGGAUUAUUGACGUCUGCCUGCCCUGACCCUGAGACUGCCUGCCGUUCUGUACCUUGUCACACCACCCUGGAUUAUUGACGUCUGCCUGCCCUGACCCUGAGACUGCCUGCCGUUCUGUACCUUUUGACUCUGAUUUGGAUUACUGACCUCUGCCUGCACUUGACCUGUCGUUUUGUCUGCCCCUGUUCUAGUAUUACACUUUGUUACUUCAACACUGUCUGCAUCUGGGUCCUUCCUAAAACAUGAUAGUACGAACUGGCCAUGACCAACCCAGCAGACACAGACCAGCUCCACAAUGUCGUCUCCAUGCAAGGAGCCACCAUUGGACGACACAAGGGGUUACUGCAAUGUCUUAUGGAGGGACUCCAUACUUUUAUUUUUUAUUUAUUUUUAUUUCACCUUUAUUUAACCAGGUAGGCAAGUUGAGAACAAGUUCUCAUUUACAACUGCGACCUGGCCAAGAUAAAGCAAAGCAGUUUGACACAGACAACAACACAGUUACACAUGGAGUAAACAAACAAGCCAAUAACACAAUAAACAAGUCAAUGAUACAGUAGAAAAAAGAGUCUAUAUACAGUGUGUGCAAAAGGCAUGAGGAGGUAGGCAAUAAAUAGGCCAUAGGAGCAAAUAAUUACAAUUUAGCAGAUUAACACUGGAGUGAUAAAUGAGCAUAUGAAGAUGUGCAUGUAGACAUACUGGUGUGCAAAAAGAGCAGAAAAGUAAAUAAAAUAAAAACAGAAAGGGGAUGAGGUAGGUAGAUAGGGUGGGCAAUGUACAGAUGGG
Molecule: long non-coding RNA, 1633 nt
Filed under: Salmo salar (Atlantic salmon)
Lineage: Eukaryota; Metazoa; Chordata; Actinopteri; Salmoniformes; Salmonidae
Description: lncRNA (ENSSSAG00000104287.1)
Source: RNAcentral